AUCCGCUAUAGGAUAGGAUCGUGCUCGAUUAUGGUUGUUGGUGAGGUAACGGCUCACCAAGCCGAUAAUCGAUAGGGGCUGUGAGAGCGGGAGCCCCGAGAUGGGUACUGAGACAGCGACCCAGGCCUUACGAGGCGCAGCAGGCGCGGAACCUCCGCAAUACACGAAAGUGUGACGGGUUACCCAAAGUGUUCAAUUAUGAACUGUGGUAGGUGAGUAAUGUCCCCUACUAGAAAGGAGAGGGCAAGGCUGGUGCCAGCCGCCGCGGUAAAACCAGCUCUUCAAGUGGUCGGGAUAAUUAUUGGGCUUAAAGUGUCCGUAGCCGGUUUAGUAAGUUCCUGGUAAAAUCAGGUAGCCUAACUAUCUGCAUGCUAGGAAUACUGCUAUACUAGAGGACGGGAGAGGUCUUAGGUACUACAGGGGUAGGGGUGAAAUCUUAUAAUCCUUGUAGGACCACCAGUGGCGAAGGCGUCAGACUGGAACGUGCCUGACGGUGAGGGACGAAAGCCAGGGGAGCGAACCGGAUUAGAUACCCGGGUAGUCCUGGCCGUAAACGAUGCAUACUAGGUGAUGGCAUGGCCAUGAGCCGUGUCAGUGCCGUAGGGAAACCGUUAAGUGUGCCGCCUGGGAAGUACGGUCGCAAGGCUAAAACUUAAAGGAAUUGGCGGGGGAGCACCACAAGGGGUGAAGCCUGCGGUUCAAUUGGACCCAACGCCGGGAAACUUACCAGGGGAGACAGCAGAAUGAUGGUCAGGUUGACGACCUUACCUGACGAGCUGAGAGGAGGUGCAUGGCCGUCGCCAGUUCGUGCUGUGAGGUAUCCUGUUAAGUCAGGCAACGAACGAGAUCCGCGCCUUUAUUUGCCAGCAAGAAGUCACGACUUCGUUGGGAACACUAAAGGGACCGCCAUCGAUAAGAUGGAGGAAGGAGCGGGCAAAGGCAGGUCAGUAUGCCCCGAAACCCCUGGGCUACACGCGGGCUGCAAUGGUAUGAACAAUGGGCUGUGACUCCGAAAGGAGAAACCAAUCCCGAAAUCAUAUCUCAGUGGGGAUUGUCGGCUGUAACCCGCUGACAUGAACGUGGAAUCCCUAGUAAUCGUGUGUCAUCAUCGCACGGUGAAUACGUCUCUGCUCCUUGCACACACCGCCCGUCGCUCCACCCGAGUGUGCUAAAAAUGAGGUUUGGUCAGUUUGGUCAUAUCGAGUUUCUAGUAUGCGA
This 1218-nucleotide ribosomal RNA is filed under the name Promethearchaeota archaeon. RNAcentral describes it as "bacterial SSU rRNA". It matches the Rfam family "Archaeal small subunit ribosomal RNA", at positions 197 to 1421 of the family's 1478-position model. The record is from RNAcentral. Lineage: Archaea; Promethearchaeati; Promethearchaeota.